AAGUCGUAACAAGGUUUCCGUAGGUGAACCUGUGGAAGGAUCAUUCAUAAUAAAGUGUUUUAUGGCACUUUUAAAACAACCCAUAUCCACCUUGUGUGCAAUGUUUUUUAUAAUUUUCAACUCUAUUUUAAUUUAUUUUGUCUGAAAUAUAUUAUGAAUACUUAAUUCAAAAAUAUAACUUUCAACAACGGAGCUCUUGGCUCUC
RNAcentral lists this unclassified non-coding RNA (205 nucleotides) under Mortierella paraensis. Its description in RNAcentral is "partial internal transcribed spacer region". The stretch from base 1 to 46 matches the Rfam family "Eukaryotic small subunit ribosomal RNA", at positions 1786 to 1831 of the family's 1831-position model. Lineage: Eukaryota; Fungi; Mortierellomycota; Mortierellomycetes; Mortierellales; Mortierellaceae. The record is from RNAcentral.